AUUGAACGCUGGCGGCAUGCUUUACACAUGCAAGUCGAACGGAUUUUGGAGCUUGCUCCAGAGGUAGUGGCGAACGGGUGAGUAAUAUAUAGGAACGUACCCGGCAAUGGGGGAUAACGUAGCGAAAGUUACGCGAAUAUCGCAUAUGCGCUGAGGGGGAAAGCAGGGGACAAGUCAUGGCCUUGCGUGGUCGGAGCGGCCGAUAUCGGAUUAGCUAGUUGGUGAGGUAAAGGCCCACCAAGGCGACGAUCCGUAGCGGGUCUGAGAGGAUGAACGGCCACACUGGGACUGAGACACGGCCCAGACUCCUACGGGAGGCAGCAGUGGGGAAUUUUGGGCAAUGGGCGAAAGCCUGAUCCAGCCAUGCCGCGUGAGUGAAGAAGGCCUUCGGGUUGUAAAGUACUUUCGGCGGGGAGGAAGGCGGUGAAGUUAAUAACUUCACCGAUUGACGGUACCCGAAGAAGAAGCACCGGCUAACUCCGUGCCAGCCGCCGCCGUAA
RNAcentral lists this ribosomal RNA (500 nucleotides) under uncultured bacterium. Its description in RNAcentral is "partial 16S ribosomal RNA". It matches the Rfam family "Bacterial small subunit ribosomal RNA", at positions 29 to 523 of the family's 1533-position model. The record is from RNAcentral.